AAUAACAUCAAUAUCGCAUGAGAAGAUGUAGAAAGUCGCUCUUUGUGGCGACGUCUUUUGGAUGAGGGGUGCGACGUAUCAGAUAGUUGGUGAGGUAAUGGGCUCACCAAGUCAAUGACGCGUAGCUGUACUGAGAGGUAGAACAGCCACAAUGGGACUGAGACACGGCCCAUACUCCUACGGGAGGCAGCAGUAGGGUAAUUUUCACAAGUGGGCGCAAGCCUUAUGAAGCAAUGCCGCGUGAACGAUGAAGGUCUUAUAGAUUGUAAAGUUCUUUUAUAUGGGGAAGAAACGCUAAAAUAGGAAAUGAUUUUAGUUUGACUGUACCAUUUGAAUAAGUAUCGGGCUAACUAUGUGCCAGCAGCCGCGGGUAAAUA
This 377-nucleotide ribosomal RNA is filed under the name uncultured Ureaplasma sp. RNAcentral's name for it is "bacterial SSU rRNA". It matches the Rfam family "Bacterial small subunit ribosomal RNA", at positions 156 to 527 of the family's 1533-position model. Lineage: Bacteria; Bacillati; Mycoplasmatota; Mycoplasmoidales; Mycoplasmoidaceae. The record is from RNAcentral.